UCAUCGAAGAAGUGCAGGCCAUGCAGCAGCAGCAGCAACAGCCACAGACAUCAGUGCGGUUGGAAAGAGCAUCGUCGGAGUUCCAAAAUCUGACAGUAGGGUGGGCCACUUGGGUCAGUCGCCCUGUCUUCCCCAGAAAGGAGAAUCCGAGGGUGGAGAGCCCUCAGUCUGAUCAUGAUUCCACCCCCGAAGGAUCCCUACCUCCAUUCUGCCUGAAGACCCUCGAAACUCACAGUCGAGAGGACCUCCUGGAUCAAAGACUCCAGGAGAUGAACC
This 276-nucleotide long non-coding RNA is filed under the name Elaeis guineensis (African oil palm). Its description in RNAcentral is "long non-coding RNA (EGUI_LNC077575)". Lineage: Eukaryota; Viridiplantae; Streptophyta; Magnoliopsida; Arecales; Arecaceae. The record is from RNAcentral.